UACGGGGGGGGCAAGCGUUGUUCGGAAUUACUGGGCGUAAAGGGCUUGUAGGUGGCCAACUAAGUCAGACGUGAAAUCCCUCAGCUUAACUGGGGAACUGCGUCUGAUACUGGCGAGCUUGAGUGCAGGAGAGGAACGCAGAAUUCCAGGUGUAGCGGUGAAAUGCGUAGAUAUCUGGAGGAACACCGGUGGCGAAGGCGGAUCUCUGGGCCUUACCUGACGCUCAAGUGUGAAAGCUAGGGGAGCGAACAGG
This 253-nucleotide ribosomal RNA is filed under the name uncultured bacterium. RNAcentral's name for it is "partial 16S ribosomal RNA". It matches the Rfam family "Bacterial small subunit ribosomal RNA", at positions 524 to 776 of the family's 1533-position model. The record is from RNAcentral.